UUAGUACUCCCUCCGUCCGAAAAUACUUGUCAUCAAAACGAAUAAACGAGGAUGUAUCUAGAUGUAUAUUAGUUCUAGAUACAUCCCUUUUUGUCUAUUUUGAUGACAAAUAUUUUCGGACGGAGGGAGUAUCUU
Triticum aestivum (bread wheat) is the source of this 135-nucleotide non-coding RNA. NCBI's taxonomy places the organism in Eukaryota, Viridiplantae, Streptophyta, Magnoliopsida, Poales, Poaceae. The record is from Rfam.